UCCGUUUUUCAACCGCACCGAGUAGGUUUUAAGUGCUAAGCCACCUAUGAAGGCGAGUCUAAAUCAAAUU
Molecule: non-coding RNA, 70 nt
Organism: Pilibacter termitis
Lineage: Bacteria; Bacillati; Bacillota; Bacilli; Lactobacillales; Enterococcaceae
Source: Rfam